CAAACGAACAAUCGGUACACACGGAGAAUCGGUACAAACGAACAAUCGGUACACACGAACAAUCGGUACACACGAACAAUCGGUACACACGAACAAUCGGUACAAACGAACAAUCGGUACACACGAACAAUCGGUACAAACGAACAAUCGGUACACACGAACAAUCGGUACAAACGAACAAUCGGUACAAACGAACAAUCGGUACAAACGAAGAAUCGGUACAACCGAACAAUCGGUACACAAAAACAAUCGUUACACACAAACAAUUGGUACAAACGAACAAUCGGUACACACAAACAAUCGGUAAACACGAAGAAUCGGUACACACGAAGAAUCGGUACACACGAAGAAUCGGUACACACGAAGAAUCGCACAAACGAACAAACGUACAAACGAACAAUCGUACAAACGAAGAAUCGUACAAACGAAGAAUCGGUACACACAAACACUUUGUGUAAAUCAUAAGACUCCCAUUCUCUGUCAGCAGGUUUCUGUCACAAAUCUUCGGCAUAAAGUCUUUAUUUGUUUGCAAACGUACUUCGGGGUCGUGGAUUCAUUUAUUCGUAGUUUUGUCGAUGGAUUUUCAAAGUGAACAACGUAAACGAAAGUGAUUAACAACAAGUCAAACUUACAAUCACAAUUACUUUCGUGAAGUUGUUGUUUUUCUGCUUUCUUCCUCUUUUAAUGUUCAUGGUGUCACAACCUCAUCAUCUCCAGCAUCUGCGUCUCAUCCCCGGUGUGUGUCUGUGUGUGUGUGUGUGUAUCUGUGUGUUUGUGUCUGUGUGUGUGUGUGUGUCUGUAUGUGUGUCUGUGUGUGUUUUUCAGCCUCCAGCGUCUCCCUGAUGAUGAAGCCAUCCAUUAUUUACUAAGAAUUCGAACCCACAGAAAGAAAAAUCACUUAAGAUUUAAUUGGGAACUUUUCCACUGCUGCUGAUGGGAACGUUGACGAGAAGACGAAGAAGACGAAGAAGAAGUUUUUUAACAGGAAAUGAAUGAGACGAAGAUCUAAAAGCUUUAAAGAUUUGCCCACAUUGGAACCAACCCGAGUAUCUCCCGUCCACCUGUCACCUUCUGCUCAGCCUCAAGUCCAACAACCUGUUGGUCCAUGUGUCCUCGUCCCGCAGUGAGACGCAGGUGGGUGUGGAAAUGCCCCCCGCUGACUUCAGCAACAUCAGAUUACUGCUGAAGAGCAGGUUGAAUUAUUCAGGGGGCUGCGAUUGGACGCGACCGUGUGUGUGUUUGUUUUUUGGUGAGGGGGGGGGAGGGGGUCCCGCAGGGUCCCGCCCUGUUUUUCAUUGAGUUUCUCCGGGCGAGCAGGUUAAUGAGCGCACGGCGGCGUCUCUCACAGCGAGGGAGGUGGACACACACACAGAAGACACAAAGCUGGUUCCAUGCGAGUCCUCAGGACGUCCAUGUGACGGUUCAGGACAGUUUGUCUCUGGUGGCACAUUAAUACAUGAGCUUCUGUCCCUCCACUUGAGUCCGUCCCCCCAGAACCGAAGUGAAGCUGCAUCACAUCAGAGUGUAAAACCACUGAUCUUUACUUUUACUUUACAGAGUGUGCACGUGUGUGUGUGUGUGUGUGUGUCUGUGUGUGUCCUAGAUGAGACCGCUGAACCCGGCCGGGUGGCAUGAAAGCCGCUGGACCUGUGACCUUGUAGGCGGGGGGCGAUGGACCUGAACAAACACGGCACCACCUGCUUCCCUUCACAGUGAGAGAACAACACGAGGAACCGGAGACUCUAAAGGAGAACAUGAAGGAUCCUCGUGUUUAUUAUUAAAGGAGUCAACUAUCAGGCUGUGAGGGACAAAGUUAUUCAAAUACCUUUUAUGAAUACGGUGCUCCAGAGCGUCCUUGGGCUCCGAGCGGCAGGCUGCGGGUUGUUUGCUAUAGUUUGUUGAGUGUUUGUGUGUUUGUGUUGUGAGGCUCUGUGUCUCUGGCUGAAGGCCGACUUUUAACGUCCUUCAUUCAAAUUCAAUUUAUCUCCAAAACAUUCUUUCUCUUCUUUCGGACUUUAAGUGUGAUACGUGAAAUGAAUAUUUAUACGUGCAUUUCUGCUCGUUAUUUAAUCAUGAAUAGUUGGAGGGAGAGAGAAAUUGUGAAAUGUUGCUGAGACUUUUAUUACAGCGACCAGCCGGCUUGACCUUUGACCUCUACAGCAGGUGCCACUCUGAUUCUCAUUCACUUCUCAUUGUCCCCUGGUCAAACAGCAUCUCGGACCAGGUGUCUUUUGGUUAAAGCCUGAAAAUCACUUCACCUGCAGGGAAGUCUCUGAAGAAUGAAGACAGGAUCAGCGUGGACGUAAACAACAAGCAUGGCGGCUCCACGGGCCCUGUGACCUCACUGACUCUCUUUCCUUUGUUCCAACAUUGAUGGAUAAAAUGCUGAGUCAUCAGUACGGACUCGUGGUUUGUGGUCUGGAGACGAGGACAGACACGUUACUUUUAACACAGCUUGACACAGAAGAGUCCUGUUUGCUCCUCAGUGCAUCUGUGAACAUCUGGUCUGGAGGUGGUGAGGAGGCGUGGAGGAGGCGUGGAGGCGGUGAGGAGGCGUGGUGGAGGCGUGGAGGUGGUGAGGAGGCGUGGUGGAGGCGGCGUGGAGGAGGCAGCGUGGAGGCGUGGUGGAGGCGGCGUGAAACGAUCCCAGAGUACAUCUAAGGGUGGAAGCACAACUCGACGUACUAAAGCACAAAGCCAGAGAGCUGACCCUCCGCCCUCUCGUCCCCCC
Gasterosteus aculeatus aculeatus (three-spined stickleback) is the source of this 2731-nucleotide long non-coding RNA. Lineage: Eukaryota; Metazoa; Chordata; Actinopteri; Perciformes; Gasterosteidae. The record is from Ensembl.